UCUCUGGUGUUUUUCAACACCACCCAAUUCCUCGAGAAAGCAUCGU
Molecule: non-coding RNA, 46 nt
Organism: Aphanomyces astaci
Lineage: Eukaryota; Oomycota; Saprolegniomycetes; Saprolegniales; Verrucalvaceae
Source: Rfam